UGGGGAAUUUUGGACAAUGGGCGCAAGCCUGAUCCAGCCAUUCCGCGUGCAGGACGAAGGCCUUCGGGUUGUAAACUGCUUUUGUACGGAACGAAAAAGCCUCGGUUAAUACCCGGGGUCCAUGACGGUACCGUAAGAAUAAGCACCGGCUAACUACGUG
This 160-nucleotide ribosomal RNA is filed under the name uncultured Comamonas sp. RNAcentral describes it as "partial 16S ribosomal RNA". It matches the Rfam family "Bacterial small subunit ribosomal RNA", at positions 355 to 507 of the family's 1533-position model. Lineage: Bacteria; Pseudomonadati; Pseudomonadota; Betaproteobacteria; Burkholderiales; Comamonadaceae. The record is from RNAcentral.